GUGCUUGCUUCGGCAGCGCACAUACUAAAAUUGGAACGAUACAGAGACGAUUAGCAUGGCCCCUGCGCAAGGAUGACACGCAAAUUUGUGAAGCGUUCCAUAUUUUA
This is a small nuclear RNA of Octodon degus (degu), 107 nucleotides long. Lineage: Eukaryota; Metazoa; Chordata; Mammalia; Rodentia; Octodontidae. The record is from Ensembl.